This 1361-nucleotide long non-coding RNA is filed under the name Helianthus annuus (common sunflower). RNAcentral describes it as "hypothetical non coding rna". The record is from RNAcentral. Lineage: Eukaryota; Viridiplantae; Streptophyta; Magnoliopsida; Asterales; Asteraceae.
AUGCUUAAUAAGGACAAAUCAACUGAAGCAAAUAAAAAAAUCUGGAAAGGUAUUUCUAGUUUUGAAGCAGAGGCAACAUUACUUUUGACUUCAGAUUAAGCAGAACUAAAGUGUUAAGAUUGAGUUAAUUACUGUUUUCGUCCCUGUGGUACGUAAAAAACAAACAAAAAAAGUACACAAUUUUAGUGUUAAAAACAACAGUGAGGUAUGUUACACUAACACGAGAAUAAUUUCCAUAACUGAAAAUAUAUAAAGCUCACCUUUCCAGCUGGAGUUGGACCGCGUCUUUGCGCCUUUAAUCCAAAGAAGAUUAGAAGAAAAGAAAAAAUUAAUUACGAGAGCAAAUCAGAACAAAUAGAAUGAUUGAAACCGUUUAAUUUUCCUUCACUUUCUAUGCAUGUGUGAGUGGAUGAAAAAAAAUGUAUAAAAGAGGGUUCAGUUUCCUUUUAACAUAGAAAUUUUACAUAAAAGAGGGUUCAAUUUCAUAAUAGUUAACUGUGAAAUAGUGGUAAUGCAUACAAACACGACAGCCAAUCCCCCACCGAGUCUUGUAAUCACAAAUUUCAAAAUAGAUUGUUAAAGCAAAUAACUCUUUUAACAUAGUAAUUUUACACACAAGAGGUUCAAUUUGAUUUUGUGUUCAUCAUGACGAAAUCAAUGGUCAAAACGAUUUCAUCAUGGUGGUGAAAAAUCAUCCCCGGAGCUAAAAAGCGAGCACCAGCAUCAAGGAAAUGAUCUCUGGGAUUGGCUGACGGAAUUAUCUGUUUGGUGUUCGAAGUCAUUAUCAUUGUAUCAGGUAGUCUAAUAUUCCUAACAAGAUUCUUUCAUUGAAAACCAAUAUCUCUAUCUAAAUCAUUUGAAAGAUCUGUUUACUCUGACUCGAAAACAUAUAUUCAUCCAAAAGUCUCACAACAUGUAUAAGUUCAAGCUAUUUUCAUUGUUACAAUAAAGAGUGUUUUAUGGUGUUAUCAGAUUAGGUUCAUCUUUCACAGGAGUGAUCUCGCUUGAAAGUGCAAAUAAUUAAUUUUUUAAAUGGUUACCAAACAUUAAUUUCUGAUUAUUGGUGUUUUGCAAACGCCAUAACCGGAUAUACUCCCUCAAAAACGCAAUCCCAUACUCCCCUGAUUCUAAUUGCCUCAUAUAAGUGAUACUUACUUUUCAGAAAAAUUUUGAGUAUUCCAAGCAUCAUGGUUCCCUAGAAUAGCCGCUUUAGCCAUUUUGAGUGCUGCAAUGCUUUUAACAAGUUCAACGUUUUCAUUGCCAAAGUCACCUGGAAAAGCAUGCAGGCAAAAAGAACAGCACAGGACAGUUGAAAAAUGAAGAAUAAAACAAGAUCACCGUUAACACUAAAUUCAUAUUCU